Molecule: ribosomal RNA, 87 nt
Filed under: Platycodon grandiflorus (balloon flower)
Lineage: Eukaryota; Viridiplantae; Streptophyta; Magnoliopsida; Asterales; Campanulaceae
Description: partial 5.8S ribosomal RNA
Rfam family: 5.8S ribosomal RNA
About the family: 5.8S ribosomal RNA (5.8S rRNA) is a component of the large subunit of the eukaryotic ribosome.
Source: RNAcentral
UGCAGAAUCCCGUGAACCAUCGAGUCUUUGAACGCAAGUUGCGCCCGAAGCCAUUAGGCCGAGGGCACGUCUGCAUGGGCGUCACGC